GGCCGUUUGGCACAGUGGUCCAGCGCGCCCGUUUCUUACAGUUGUCGCGUGUUCGAUCCGCGGAGGGGUGU
Molecule: non-coding RNA, 71 nt
Organism: Plicaturopsis crispa FD-325 SS-3
Lineage: Eukaryota; Fungi; Basidiomycota; Agaricomycetes; Amylocorticiales; Amylocorticiaceae
Source: the annotation of a GenBank genome assembly